GUCGCUGCAAAUUCAGCGACCGGGUUUGGCGACCCGAUCAGUAACAGGCGCACAGGCGCCCAUACUCUCAUUGCAGGCGCUUUUUUU
RNAcentral lists this small RNA (87 nucleotides) under Stutzerimonas stutzeri. Lineage: Bacteria; Pseudomonadati; Pseudomonadota; Gammaproteobacteria; Pseudomonadales; Pseudomonadaceae. The record is from RNAcentral.